CAAGGGCUACUUCGGUGAGAACUGUACACAAAAAUGCAGCAACAAUUGUCGGUUACCAAACAGCUGCAACGUGUAACAGGGGAAUGUGAUGGAGGGUGUCAGUAUGGAUGGACGGGGAGGUUAUGUGAGACAGGAUGUGGCAAGGGCUACUUCGGUGAGAACUGUACACAAAAAUGCAGCAACAAUUGUCGGUUACCAAACAGCUGCAACAGUGUAACAGGGGAAUGUGAUGGAGGGUGUCAGUAUGGAUGGACGGGGAGGUUAUGUGAGACAGUUAAAACCUCCGAACUCGUGUGUUCAAUCAUUCUUCAGUCACAACUGUGAAGAAUGUUAUGGUCAAUUACCUUGCGAGAUUCAGAUUCCUCGAAAAAAAAAGCAAUAUUCUUGCUUCAGGAAAUCUCUGCCCUUGUGCCGCGGAGAGCUCAAAUAUGUUCACCACUAUCAUUGUCAACUCCGUGGUAACCUUGUUCAUUGUUUUAAUUAGCAACGUCAUUAUUUAUAUCGUUCGCCGAAGGAAGAAAUUAAAUGCAGGACAUGGAAGGUAAUUUUCAGUAUUUCUUUCAUGUUUUACGUGAUA
RNA transcript from Saccostrea cuccullata (small rock oyster), 577 nucleotides. It is a transcript of the gene named cell death abnormality protein 1-like, with no coding region annotated. Lineage: Eukaryota; Metazoa; Mollusca; Bivalvia; Ostreida; Ostreidae. The record is from RefSeq and is a predicted model, not a curated record. The transcript has 5 exons.